AGCCACAUCACAUUGAAAUGCCAGUUCCCGUAUGACCACUGAAGUUAAGCCAAGUCGAGCCUCGUCAGUAUCUAAAUGGGUAACCACUUGGGAAUACCAGGAGCUGUCAG
Molecule: non-coding RNA, 110 nt
Organism: Acanthosepion pharaonis
Lineage: Eukaryota; Metazoa; Mollusca; Cephalopoda; Sepiida; Sepiidae
Source: the annotation of a GenBank genome assembly